Long non-coding RNA from Hyalella azteca, 329 nucleotides. RefSeq lists it as uncharacterized. NCBI's taxonomy places the organism in Eukaryota, Metazoa, Arthropoda, Malacostraca, Amphipoda, Hyalellidae. The transcript has 2 exons. The record is from RefSeq and is a predicted model, not a curated record.
AUUUAUUCAUGUAUAUAUAGACAUAAGUAGCAAUGUAAUAGGUAUUAGGAUUUUGAUUUUUCAUUUUUAGUUUUCAAUCACCUUAGCCGUGACCUCCAGCAACAUUGCGUUUUACCUAUCAUUGUGUCUUGUGUUCUUGCCGUGGAGGAAGGCCUCGAUGUUCGAACUUGAUACAUGAGCCCAAGUUAUGAACUCUAUAUUUGGACGUGAUUAGUGAAGUGAAAGUGAAUGAACGCACGGUUAAAGUCAAGUUAAAGUCAAGUUAGGAUUAGGGUGUUAGGUUUGUCGUGUUUUGUUUCUAUUUAUUCAUUGUUAAUUAUAUUUACUUG